This 521-nucleotide ribosomal RNA is filed under the name Nostoc commune PJ S27. Its description in RNAcentral is "bacterial SSU rRNA". It matches the Rfam family "Bacterial small subunit ribosomal RNA", at positions 400 to 949 of the family's 1533-position model. Lineage: Bacteria; Bacillati; Cyanobacteriota; Cyanophyceae; Nostocales; Nostocaceae. The record is from RNAcentral.
CGUGAGGGAGGAGGCUCUUGGGUCGUAAACCUCUUUUCUCAGGGAAGAAAUAAUGACGGUACCUGAGGAAUAAGCAUCGGCUAACUCCGUGCCAGCAGCCGCGGUAAUACGGAGGAUGCAAGCGUUAUCCGGAAUGAUUGGGCGUAAAGCGUCCGCAGGUGGCUAUGUAAGUCUGCUGUUAAAGAGUCUAGCUCAACUAGAUAAAAGCAGUGGAAACUACUUUGCUAGAGUACGUUCGGGGCAGAGGGAAUUCCUGGUGUAGCGGUGAAAUGCGUAGAGAUCAGGAAGAACACCAGUGGCGAAGGCGCUCUGCUAGGCCGUAACUGACACUGAGGGACGAAAGCUAGGGGAGCGAAUGGGAUUAGAUACCCCCCGUAAACGAUGGGUACUAGGUGUGGCUUGUAUCGCCCGAGCCGUGCCGUAGCUAACGCGUUAAGUACCCCGCCUGGGGAGUAUGCCGGCAAGUGUGAAACUCAAAGGAAUUGACGGGGCCCGCACAAGCGGUGGAGUAUGUGGUUUAA